CUCAGAACUUUAGACUAGUGAAUAGAGCAACAUAACUGAACCCAUUACCCACCAGCAUUUUCUAUGGCCUAGGUGUUUUGCUGAGACAAAGACUGAGAGGAGCAGAGAAAGAUGGUGUUGAGAAUCUGGGCUGCUGCACUACAGUCUGACUCUGCCACUGACUCACUGUGGGCCUCAGGUCCUGCUACAUUUGUGCCUGGCUCUGCCAGGCUCACUCCUGCCAAGCAUUGCUGUGUCAGAGCAGAGGCUGGAGCAGGCACCAGGAGGAGGCACUGCAUCACCCAAGCCUGGGGGACCAAGGGUUAUGUCACACCCCACUGCAGGUGGAACACCCUGCAUGGACAAGGUCUGUUUUCCUUCAGCACAUUUGUGCAGGCAGCAUCUAUGCCAGUGAGACGACACCCUCAGCCUCCACCUACAGCAAUAUUCCUGCCUGUGGCCCUGGUACUGUUCAUCGUCAUCGGAUAUUUGUAAUGCAUUCUCCAUGUGGUUCCAAGCCUCUCUUAUGCCAGGCCUGGUGCUCCCAGGGACCAGCCCUGACAUAUAUGAGACAAUGAGUCCCCUUCUUUGAAUUCUCUGCACAUUUUUCAGCCUAAUUGAUAAGAUUUCUUUGUUGAUCUUGGUGGCUGUGAACAUACAUCAUUACUGCUCCUGGUCAAUUAGAGUUAAAAGAAAACCCCAGUGAUUAGUCAUAAUGUCAGAGGGAAGGAAAUAAAUAUUUACUACAUAAAAGCA
This 735-nucleotide long non-coding RNA is filed under the name Crocodylus porosus (Australian saltwater crocodile). RNAcentral's name for it is "lncRNA (ENSCPRG00005012261.1)". The record is from RNAcentral. Lineage: Eukaryota; Metazoa; Chordata; Crocodylia; Crocodylidae.